This 93-nucleotide non-coding RNA is filed under the name Acetobacterium bakii. RNAcentral's name for it is "c-di-GMP sequence". It matches the Rfam family "c-di-GMP-I riboswitch aptamer". From Rfam's summary of the family: GEMM was predicted in a large-scale screen for bacterial structured RNA regulatory elements. The record is from Rfam by way of RNAcentral. Lineage: Bacteria; Bacillati; Bacillota; Clostridia; Eubacteriales; Eubacteriaceae.
UAACGAGAAAGGCAAAACAGGUGAAAACCUGUGUCGCAAAACUAUAGGGUCUAAGUAAUGGGCGUAACCAUCAUAGGACAGCCAGUUGCCACA